Molecule: non-coding RNA, 1113 nt
Organism: Pelobates cultripes (western spadefoot toad)
Lineage: Eukaryota; Metazoa; Chordata; Amphibia; Anura; Pelobatidae
Source: the annotation of a GenBank genome assembly
UUUGUGAUACAUUUAUAGUAUUGUGUUGUUGCCUUUUAAUAAAUACCUUUUAAUGUAGACGAACCUUGUGUAAUAUAUAUAUUAAUUUGGUGAUACACCACAUUUGGCGACCACGGAUUUUAGACUUCUACAAAGGUUAUUUAUGAGGUAAUAACACAUUAAUAGAUAGUCAGGUCCCUUUAAACAAUAUGAUUUCUUAUUCAGACAGCGGAAAGUGAUAACAAGUACUACAACAGUGAAGAAUAGUAAAAAUUGUGAUGGCGUAUCAACGUAAUUUAGACCAUUCCACUCUCUAAACAGUGCAGGUUUUAUUAUUGAUUUUAUUCUCCCCUCAGGACAGAAAUGUCUCAUUGUUUAGUUCUCAACCAGUUUCCUCAACUAGUCCAUGCAUCUACAACUAUUUCUGCAAAAAAAAUAGAAUUUACCAAUUAAUAUUCACUCUCUUCAACAUAUUCCUUUCUUUUUAAUGAACAGCACCAACAUUUCUAGCCGAAAUUAUGAACUUAAGUGUAUUAUUUGUUUACCAAAAUAAUGAUAUAACUGGAAGGUAAAUCAUAAUAGGGAUGAUUGUUGGAUAUACCAUCGAUAAAGAUUUUGAAGAGGAAGGAAAAUACCUGUACAUCACAUACCUUGAAAAUUGCAGAAUGAAACAAUUUCUUAAAACGUGUCUGUAACUAUCACUGUAUUACAUAAAAGCUAUGGAUACAAUCUGCUAAAUAGCAUAUGUGCAACAUAACCUGUUUUUUAUUUGUAUCCAUUCACAAGCAUGUCUAUACUCCCUAAAUUUAGUUAUGUUUUAUGUAAGCUUGUUUGAGCAGGGUCUUCUUCACUUGGCUUCUGUUAUCCCAUUUUUAUAAUUGUAAAGCACUACGGUGUAUGUUGGCGCUAUACAAAUGCUAAUAAUAAUAAUGCAUUGGACAUGCACAAACUGUGCGCCCUUCUAUAGUUCCAAAGAUGCCGAGAUAUCUCCAUAUUUUAUUUUGCUGAAUAUUCAAAAUUAACAAAUUAGAAAAUGUGUUCAGUUUGCUUAUAAAAGAAAUACUUAAAAGAUGUGCUUUAAGCAAUGGCUUUUUUAUGGCCGCAUUCUAAGAAAUGUUUAGUUUCCAGACAGAG